CACCAUAUGAGAUAUAGUAUGGUAAGAAGUCGAGUCCCGAUUAUCUUAAGACUUAGGGAUAUCUGAUCUAUAUCAAGAGAUAGAUGGCUGAUAAAUUAGAGGAUAGAUUUGUAAUAGCUCAUUUUAUUGGGUAUCCAAAAGAAUUAAUGAGACACUACUACUUUUCAUAAGAUCAUAAUGUGAUUGUGAGUCAGAACGCCAUAUUUCUAAAAAAAACUUUAUCUAGGAUGGGCAGUGGGAGCUUAGUUGAGCUUGAAGAGAAGAUCUUUAAAAGCAAAGAGCUAUAGAUCCUUAAGAACUUAUUAUUCAUGAGUAGUUGAUGCUCCUCCAUCACCUCGU
Molecule: long non-coding RNA, 339 nt
Filed under: Elaeis guineensis (African oil palm)
Lineage: Eukaryota; Viridiplantae; Streptophyta; Magnoliopsida; Arecales; Arecaceae
Description: long non-coding RNA (EGUI_LNC039162)
Source: RNAcentral